Molecule: ribosomal RNA, 398 nt
Filed under: uncultured bacterium
Lineage: Bacteria
Description: partial 16S ribosomal RNA
Rfam family: Bacterial small subunit ribosomal RNA
Source: RNAcentral
CCUACGGGUGGCAGCAGUGAGGAAUAUUGGUCAAUGGGCUUACGCCUGAACCAGCCAAGUCGCGUGAGGGAAGAAUGCCCUAUGGGUUGUAAACCUCUUUUGCCAGGGAGCAAUUGGCGCUAUGUGUAACGUUAUCGAGUGUCGCUGAAGAAAAAGCAUCGACUAACUCAGUGCCAGCAAACGCGGUAAUACGGAGGGUGCGGGCGUUAUUCGGAUUUAUUGGCUGUAAGGGGAGCGUAGGCGGAAUGCCUAGUCAGCGGUAAACUCGCGGGGCUAAACCUAGCUCCGCCGUUGAAACUGGCGUUCUUGAGGGGGCGAGAGGGGUGCGGAAGGCGAGGUGUAGCGGUGAAAUGCAUAGAGAUCACGAAGAAUACCGGUUGCGAAGGCAGCAGACCGGC